UACGAAGGGGACUAGCGUUGUUCGGAAUCACUGGGCGUAAAGCGCACGUAGGCGGAUCUUUAAGUCAGGGGUGAAAUCCCAAGGCUCAACCUUGGAACUGCCUUUGAUACUGGGGAUCUCGAGUCCGGAAGAGGUGAGUGGAAUUCCCGGUGUAGCGGUGAAAUGCGCAGAUAUCGGGAGGAACACCAAUGGCGAAGGCAGCUCGCUGGGACGUUACUGACGCUGAGACGCGAAAGCGUGGGGAGCAAACAGG
Molecule: ribosomal RNA, 253 nt
Filed under: uncultured bacterium
Lineage: Bacteria
Description: partial 16S ribosomal RNA
Rfam family: Bacterial small subunit ribosomal RNA
Source: RNAcentral